Molecule: ribosomal RNA, 253 nt
Filed under: uncultured bacterium
Lineage: Bacteria
Description: partial 16S ribosomal RNA
Rfam family: Bacterial small subunit ribosomal RNA
Source: RNAcentral
UACGUAGGAUGCAAGCGUUGUCCGGAAUUAUUGGGCGUAAAGAGAACGUAGGCGGCUUGUUAAGUUCGGUUUUAAAGACCGGGGCUCAACCUCGGGAGUGGACUGAAGACUGGCAGGCUAGAGGAUGUCAGAGGAUGGUGGAAUUCCAAGUGUAGCGGUGAAAUGCGUAGAUAUUUGGAGGAACACCUGUGGCGAAAGCGGCCAUCUGGGGCAUUCCUGACGCUGAGGUUCGAAAGCUCGGGGAGCAAACAGG